Eleginops maclovinus (Patagonian blennie) is the source of this 600-nucleotide long non-coding RNA. RefSeq lists it as uncharacterized. The record is from RefSeq and is a predicted model, not a curated record. Lineage: Eukaryota; Metazoa; Chordata; Actinopteri; Perciformes; Eleginopidae. The transcript has 3 exons.
GUUGAUAGUAAAUACUGAUUUGUAACUCGUAAACAAUGCUGUCAUCGACGUUAAUCCACCUGAACUGUUCCCACUACAAUUUUCCGUCAUUUCUUUGGCUGCAUGAUUGAUUUCAACCAGCAGAGAGCGUUCCUGAUUCUCCACAGUCAGACUGCAGGAAGCAGGUGAAGCUGCAGUAAAACCGUCCUCACACAUUUCCAUUUUAAUGACAACGGCCGCCAUCUUAUUGAAUUUAGCUCAAUCCACCUGCAUGUGCAGCUCUACCAUUUUAGAGUCAAUAAGAAGAGGCUUGGAAACAUGGGGGAAAUGCAUACAAUCUGAUUUAAAUGCAUGUUUUCUGACACAUUUAUCCUGCUCUGAAUCCUAGAUGUGUCACCUACAUCACAAGCUGUAUUCCCUCUUAAACGCUCUAUAUUUCCCCCAUUCUUACUUACGGUUAGAUGCAGCUCAUGCAAAGUAUUGGUGAUUUUCAUUGCAUACUGCACAAGACAAUAAUGAGUUUGGGUGGAGGUAAUAUAUCUUGUUUUUGUUUACAUCUAUGAUUUAUGCUUUGUAUUUUAUAGCCAUGUAAAUGUAAUGCAAGAGAACAGGAGCAGAAGU